UUUUUCCUGUACGUCCUAGGCAUCGCAACCUGUAAAAUACAAGGGUUCCAACCAGGAACUGAUCUCAAUCAAGAUUGUAUAAGAAAGUAUUAAUAACAUAAAACUAACUGCUAUUACAAGCAUUCAUUUCAUACACUUUAUACAUCACAUUUUUCUUUUACAUUUGCUUAACUUCCAAAUACAAUCACAUUGUUACAUUUAAUACA
This 206-nucleotide long non-coding RNA is filed under the name Ananas comosus (pineapple). RNAcentral describes it as "long non-coding RNA (ACOM_LNC021120)". Lineage: Eukaryota; Viridiplantae; Streptophyta; Magnoliopsida; Poales; Bromeliaceae. The record is from RNAcentral.